GGGUUGCAUGGCAAGGAUGUAGUCCUGUGCAAAUAUAGAUAGGAGGAAACACCACUGAGUUUAAUGAGAAUCUUCUAAGCAAACAUUCAUAGGUUUGAGAUCCAAGACUUAAAUCUUACCUGAGAGUAAGCUCAUUGGACACAGUAGGACUUACAUCUGAGUAAACACACAACAGGAUUAGGCUGUGUAAAAAAACAAAAAAGUUUUAUGGGAGAAAAAUAGUUUUGUGAAUCCACUCUUGCCUAAGGUAAGGUGGUUGAUGUUAUGGAUAAAAUGUAUAAACACUGACAAAUUUUUAGCCAAAAUGAAAAGGGCAGGUAGUUCUGGGUUGUUGUUUUUUAAAAAAAAUCCAAAGAACCAAGGUCAGAUAAAAGAGGUUUAAUAAGAAAAAAGAACACAAAUUCUUUGGAAGAAAUUCCUGCCAGGCAUCAUAAAGAGGAGCUGUACAGUAUCUCUUGUCAUGUGCUAUGGGACUGAGCAUUUAACAUAACACCACAACAGCACAGAAGUGCAAUUUGUCACUUCUAUCAGUGUUUUUGAGUGGGGAUGGCACCUUGUAAGGAGAUUAGAGGGAAGAAAGGAAAGGCUCUGAAGCAGACUUCUCACUAGCCAGAGAAAAGGCCGGCAGCUCAGGAUUCUUCUGAAGGAGAUGAAGCACCCAGAAUUUGAGCUGUCCUGGCUAGAUUGGAGGCUAUGGAGUGUGUGCCAGUCCAUGGUAUCCGCAAAGCUCUUCUCCAACACCACAUUUCAAGGAAGCUCUGGCCAAUGAAAUAAGCUGGGAGAUGGCUGGUGCACAAGUAGCAACUGAAUACUCAUAAGAGCUCAUAAUCAUGCCUACUGUGUGAUGGUGAAUGCAGUGAAGAAGGCCUACUUUACCACCUCCGUUGCAUCCUUGAGUAAUCAUCCAACAAAGCUUUUCAAAGUGAUACAAAGAUUGCUUUCAUCUAUUCGGGUGAACCCAGUUUUGGAGCCCUUGGAUGCCUGCUGUGACAAUUGGUCAAAGUGGAUGAGAUGUAAAGGCACAGGGUAAAUUUCAGAGUGGAUUAAGCCUUCCAAACUGCAGUCUGAUUGACCCAGGAGGUAUUUGUGGGGGAAGUAAAUGGAAUUAACUUUAUUCUGUAAUUCCUUCUGGGAGAGAGGGAGCAGGGCUUUGUCUCUUGUGCUUCCUCACAUUAAAGCAAUUGGGAGGUGGCUGAGUGAUGUGUAUUUGUGUGUCUCUGUGUUAAAAAUGCAGUUUUACCUCAGGUUCUGGUGCCUUUCAACUGAUCUUACAGGCCUUGUCUGUAUCCUCUAAUAGCUCAUAGGCUUUCAAUAUAAGCCUUACAAAGUGAUGCUAUCUAGAACACUACCUAUGGAGUUCUGAAGAGUUUUGGACGUUUUCUGUUGUUGUUAUUGAACCAAAAGCAAUGUAGGACUUAAUACAAAAAAAGUAAGUGAAGUGCUUAACUUUUUUUAAAAAAAAUCCAGUGCUAAUUUUCACACUAGCAACCAUGCAAGUGAUUUUUCUAAUCCACCUUUAUUGCUUCUGGUGUAAUACCUCACCGCAAGUAGAACAUUCCAGUUGAGCAGCAGAUGUGGGUACAGUUCAGGCAUGUCUGUUCCAGGGAGACACAUGAGCAAGAGUGUGGUUAAUUUUGUGUCACUGUAUUGAUGGAAUCAGAUGGAAUGUUCUUAAUCUGGCCACAGGAGUUCCAUAUAAUAUCUGGAGAGGCUUUCCAUGAGAAGUGUAACAGAAUGUGUACACACCUAAAUUUUCAACUAGCAGUACUUUACUGCCACAUUAAAUUGACCUUUACUUUCGUUUUGACUGUAUUUCUUAAUUCUCUUGAGAACAUUCUGCUGUUGUUCAUCUCUAACUCCUUCCUGUUGUUAAAAACAAAACAAAACUUCCUUUCCUGCCUGAGAAACUAGAAAAAAUAAUCUAAUACUCCCACCACGUUCAGGGCCCCCAUUUUGUAUGUUGUCAUCAGAUUGUGGUGUUUUAUUUCUAAUGUAAAGCAAUA
Rhineura floridana is the source of this 2003-nucleotide long non-coding RNA. RefSeq lists it as uncharacterized. Lineage: Eukaryota; Metazoa; Chordata; Lepidosauria; Squamata; Rhineuridae. The transcript is spliced from 4 exons. The record is from RefSeq and is a predicted model, not a curated record.